Molecule: unclassified non-coding RNA, 331 nt
Filed under: uncultured Cantharellales
Lineage: Eukaryota; Fungi; Basidiomycota; Agaricomycetes; Cantharellales
Description: sequence contains 5.8S rRNA gene, ITS2, 28S rRNA gene
Source: RNAcentral
AACGCAUCUUGCGCUCCUUGGUAUUCCUUGGAGCAUGCCUGUUUGAGUAUCAUGAGCAAAUCUCAAAGUCAAUUCCUUUUGUUAAUUCAAUGGGUUUUGCUUUGGACUUGGAGGUUCUUGCAGAUUUCACGUCUGCUCCUCUUAAAUGCAUUAGCUGGAUCUCAGUAUUAUGCUUGGUUCCACUCGGCGUGAUAAGUAUCACUCGCUGAGGACACUGUUAAAAAGGUGGCCAGGAAAAUAUUGAUUGAACCGCUUCUAACGGUCUAUUAACUUAGACAAAUCACCCCUUAAGUUUGAUCUCAAAUCAGGUAGGACUACCCGCUGAACUUAA